Macaca mulatta (Rhesus monkey) is the source of this 823-nucleotide long non-coding RNA. RefSeq lists it as uncharacterized. NCBI's taxonomy places the organism in Eukaryota, Metazoa, Chordata, Mammalia, Primates, Cercopithecidae. The record is from RefSeq and is a predicted model, not a curated record.
CAUAUCUAACACAGACCAAAUGACGCAGAAGACCCCGUGACUGUUACCUCUUCAGUGUGGAAUGUUAAAUAUACCUUUCCUGAGAAAAAAGACCACCUCAACGAAUCCAAUCAUUGUAACUAUGCGCUAAGCCUCAUGUAGAAAGGCAUUGCAGUCUAACGGAAAUCAAAGUGGGUUGAUGAUUGCUGUACACUGUGGCUGGUGCUGUGAUAGAGAUGGGCAUUCUGCACACAAACAGGUGCCACAGAAACACAGAGGAGGAACACCUGCAUCUGCUGGCUGCAGCCCUCUGGCUGAAUCUGAACCUGAGAGGUUGACAUGAUGAAGUGAAGACACAGAGGGAGAUCAUCACAUGAUCACAGAGGAAGAGACUGGAGUGAUGUGAGUCAAGGAUGUCCCCACUGACACUUCAGUUUUGGAAUUCUAACCUCCAGAAUUGUGAGAGAAUACAUUUCCAUGAUUUUAAGCCAUCCAGUUGGUGACACUUCAUUACAGCCACCCUAGGAAAUGAAUACAACAGUGUCACAUUGUUAGACACUGUGAUCCUUCGUCCCCUUUCCUGAUGUUCUCUUUCCUGCAGCUGAGGUGAGCUCCACAAUCAUAAUACCCCUGCCUCUCCCUCUCACUGCACUCACUCUUCCACAGCAGGAGAAGUAAAUUGUGAUUGCUGAGUUUGGGAUACAGGAACAGGGCUCUUGUCCUAGCUCUGUCUUAUCCCAUUGUCCUCUUUGCUCCUGCCCUGAGGGUCUCCCUUCUUUCUGCUCAGUUCUGCCAUGCUCUUAGAGCUUUAAAUGUAUUUGGGUUCCCAAGAACCAAAGCCUGA